This 253-nucleotide ribosomal RNA is filed under the name uncultured bacterium. RNAcentral's name for it is "partial 16S ribosomal RNA". It matches the Rfam family "Bacterial small subunit ribosomal RNA", at positions 524 to 776 of the family's 1533-position model. The record is from RNAcentral.
UACAGAGGGGGCAAGCGUUGUUCGGAAUUACUGGGCGUAAAGGGCGCGUAGGCGGCCUGCUAAGUCGAACGUGAAAUCCCUGGGCUCAACCCAGGAACUGCGUCCGAUACUGGUUGGCUUGAAUCCGGGAGAGGGAUGUGGAAUUCCAGGUGUAGCGGUGAAAUGCGUAGAGAUGUGGAGGAACACCGGUGGCGAAGGCGGCAUCCUGGACCGGUAUUGACGCUGAUGCGCGAAAGCGUGGGUAGCAAACAGG